UUCGCAAUGCCCGAAAGGGUGACUAUGCGACGCCGCGUGUGCGAUGAAGGUCUUCGGAUCGUAAAGCACUGUCAGCUGGGAGGAAUCUCUGGAGGCUUAAUAAGCUUGCAGGGUGACAGUACCAGCGGAGGAAGCCACGGCUAACUUCGUGCCAGCAGCCGCGGUAAGACGAAGGUGGCUAGCGUUGCUCGGAAUUACUGGGCAUAAAGCGCGCGUAGGUGGUCGUGUAAGCGGGAGAUGAAAGCCCAUGGCUCACCCAUGGAACUGUCCCCCGGACUGCACGGCUCGAGGAAGGAAGGGGAGAAUGGAAUUCCCGGUGUAGCGGUGAAAUGCGUAGAUAUCGGGAGGAACGCCGGUGGCGAAAGCGAUUCUCUGGUCCUUUCCUGACACUGAGGCGCGAGAGCUAGGGGAGCAAACAGGAUUAGAUACCCUGGUAGUCCUAGCUGUAAACGAUGGGCACUAAGUAGAGGGGUUUU
Molecule: ribosomal RNA, 476 nt
Filed under: uncultured anaerobic ammonium-oxidizing bacterium
Lineage: Bacteria
Description: bacterial SSU rRNA
Rfam family: Bacterial small subunit ribosomal RNA
Source: RNAcentral